This 373-nucleotide ribosomal RNA is filed under the name uncultured bacterium. RNAcentral's name for it is "bacterial SSU rRNA". It matches the Rfam family "Bacterial small subunit ribosomal RNA", at positions 527 to 898 of the family's 1533-position model. The record is from RNAcentral.
GGAGGGUGCAAGCGUUAAUCGGAAUUACUGGGCGUAAAGCGUGCGUAGGCGGUUGGUUAAGUCUGCUGUGAAAGCCCCGGGCUCAACCUGGGAAUGGCAGUGGAUACUGGCUAGCUAGAGUGUGAUAGAGGAUGGUGGAAUUCCCGGUGUAGCGGUGAAAUGCGUAGAGAUCGGGAGGAACAUCAGUGGCGAAGGCGGCCAUCUGGAUCAACACUGACGCUGAGGCACGAAAGCGUGGGGAGCAAACAGGAUUAGAUACCCUGGUAGUCCACGCCCUAAACGAUGCGAACUGGAUGUUGGUCUCAACUCGGAGAUCAGUGUCGAAGCUAACGCGUUAAGUUCGCCGCCUGGGGAGUACGGUCGCAAGACUGAA